This is a non-coding RNA of Pelobates cultripes (western spadefoot toad), 140 nucleotides long. The record is from the annotation of a GenBank genome assembly. Lineage: Eukaryota; Metazoa; Chordata; Amphibia; Anura; Pelobatidae.
UCUGUAAGUCAAGGGUAAAUAAGGUGUUGGAAUGAGGCACCUGUGACAGGGAGGGGUGCAAAAAAACAAACCAAACCUUCCCGUCACAGGUGCCUCAUUCCAAGACUUUAUUUACCCUUGACUUGCAGAGAGUCCCAGUA